AAAAAGACAAACCCUGGGUUUCCGUGUUCAAUUUUGAUUGUCCGUCUUAUAUGAAAUUUUUUAUAAUUCGUAUUUUUAUUGUUGUUAGAUGAUAAAACAUGAUUAAUAUUUUAUGCGUGACUUGUCUUUUUAAUUUUUUUCAUAAUUUUUUCAAAUAAGACGGACGGUCAAAUGUUAUACACGAAAACUAAAG
Molecule: microRNA precursor, 193 nt
Filed under: Oryza rufipogon (brownbeard rice)
Lineage: Eukaryota; Viridiplantae; Streptophyta; Magnoliopsida; Poales; Poaceae
Description: MIR812 microRNA precursor family
Rfam family: MIR812 microRNA precursor family
Source: Rfam by way of RNAcentral